RNAcentral lists this ribosomal RNA (775 nucleotides) under uncultured Neocallimastigales. Its description in RNAcentral is "partial large subunit ribosomal RNA". It matches the Rfam family "Eukaryotic large subunit ribosomal RNA", at positions 24 to 643 of the family's 3401-position model. Lineage: Eukaryota; Fungi; Neocallimastigomycota; Neocallimastigomycetes; Neocallimastigales. The record is from RNAcentral.
UACGACUACAUAUCAGGCAUAUCAAUAAGCGGAGGAAAAGAAACUAACAAGGAUUCCCUUAGUAACGGCGAGUGAAGCGGGAAGAGCUCAAAUUUGAAAUCUUCAAGGUUUUACCUUGACGAAUUGUAGUUUAAAGAAGUGUUUUCUGUUGGUGUUUUGGUAAAAGUUCUUUGGAAUAGGACAUCAUAGAGGGUGAGAAUCCCGUAUUUGACCAUUACUUCCAGCGUUGUGAUACACUUUCAAAGAGUCGGAUUGUUUGGGAAUGCAGUCCAAAAUGGGUGGUAAAUUUCAUCUAAAGCUAAAUAUUGGCGAGAGACCGAUAGCGAACAAGUACCGUGAGGGAAAGAUGAAAAGAACUUUGAAAAGAGAGUUAAACAGUACGUGAAAUUGUCAAAAGGGAAGCGUUUGACACCAGUGUUGUUUUCUCGAAAAUCAAUUAAAAAGUAUGGGAUUUUGUAUUGUUAAGACCUUAUCAGCUUACGGUACUUUUUUCUUAUUCUUUCUUAAUGCACUUUUCGUUUAACAAGUCAACAUCAAUUUCUUUUGUUGUAAAAGAGUCAUUGGAAGGUGGCUUUCACUUCGGUGAAAGUGUUUAUAGCCUUUGGCUUCUACAAUCGGAGAGAUUGAGGUCUGCAGCGUAGAUACUUCGGGGUUAGAUACGUAGAUGCUAAGUUAUAGUUUUUUCAUAGACAACUUGUUGACUAUGAUUAAUCAUGUAGCUUACUCGUUAUGCCUAUUUUACCUACGCUUAGGAUGUUGAAUCUGUGCGAGACUA